UGCUGCACCCUUGUCUUUUGCGUACCGUAUGUUUCCUCGGCGGGCUUGCCUGCCGGUUGGACAUUAUCAAACCUUUUUGUAGUUGCAAUCAGCGUCAGAAAACAAACAAUAAUUACAACUUUCAACAACGGAUCUCUUGGUUCUGGCAUCGAUGAAGAACGCAGCGAAAUGCGAAAAGUAGUGUGAAUUGCAGAAUUCAGUGAAUCAUCGAAUCUUUGAACGCACAUUGCGCCCCUUGGUAUUCCAUGGGGCAUGCCUGUUCGAGCGUCAUUUUGUACCCUCAAGCACUGCUUGGUGUUGGGCGUUUGUCCUGCAAAGGACUCGCCUGAAAGCGAUUGGCGGCCAACGUACUGGUGGUAGAGCGCAGCACAAUUUGCGUCUCUCCCUUCUACGUCGGCGUCCAUGAAGCCUUUUUUCAACGUUUGACCUCGGAUCAGGUAGGGAUACCCGC
Molecule: ribosomal RNA, 451 nt
Filed under: Dothideomycetes sp. MS579
Lineage: Eukaryota; Fungi; Ascomycota; Dothideomycetes
Description: eukaryotic LSU rRNA
Rfam family: 5.8S ribosomal RNA (bases 117-270)
Source: RNAcentral